This 465-nucleotide ribosomal RNA is filed under the name uncultured bacterium. RNAcentral describes it as "partial 16S ribosomal RNA". It matches the Rfam family "Bacterial small subunit ribosomal RNA", at positions 338 to 795 of the family's 1533-position model. The record is from RNAcentral.
CCUACGGGAGGCAGCAGUAGGGAAUCUUCCACAAUGGGCGAAAGCCUGAUGGAGCAACGCCGCGUGGGUGAAGAAGGUCUUCGGAUCGUAAAACCCUGUUGUUAGAGAAGAAAGUGCGUGAGAGUAACUGUUCACGUUUCGACGGUAUCUAACCAGAAAGCCACGGCUAACUACGUGCCAGCAGCCGCGGUAAUACGUAGGUGGCAAGCGUUAUCCGGAUUUAUUGGGCGUAAAGGGAACGCAGGCGGUCUUUUAAGUCUGAUGUGAAAGGCUUCGGCUUAACCGGAGUAGUGCAUUGGAAACUGGGAGACUUGAGUGCAGAAGAGGAGAGUGGAACUCCAUGUGUAGCGGUGAAAUGCGUAGAUAUAGGGAAGAACACCAGUGGCGAAGGCGGCUCUCUGGUCUGUAACUGACGCUGAGGUUCGAAAGCGUGGGUAGCGAACAGGAUUAGAUACCCCAGUAGUC